UGAUGUUGACAUGACAGUUACUAACACUACUACCCAUAUUGUAAUUCCACAGAACUGUGAUCAUAAGACUAUCUCAGAGUUGUCGGAGAAAAAAGAAGGAAUUGCCAUAAUUACCACAGAAUGGAUAGAUGACUGUCUGGAAAAGAAGAAACUACUCAAAACUGAUAAUUAUGAAAUCAGUUGAAAAGGGGAAACAUUCGUGGAAGAGAUUCAUAUAAACUGUGAUAUUUGAAAAGAAGGGAUUUGGGAAAGCAGUUGUUAGAUAUCCUGUUGUAGUAUUGCAGGACUAGUUACCGACUAGCUGCUUCUUAUGCAGCUGUAGUUAUGUCUUAGUGUGAUAAUCGUGAGUUUUGACGUUCAAGAGUAUAGUAUUUCAUUGAAAUGUUUAACAGUUAGUUUUUAACAGUUUGUUUAAAGGGGUGAUGUUUUUAAUAAUAGUAAUGUGUUUAUUAAUGUUAAUGUAGAACUAAAAUAUGUAAUGGAAUGAACAAGUAACGAACAUGCAUACAGCCGUCCUAUAUGUUAUUAUGUUAAUGAUUAAGUAAUUUAAGUUCUUUGUUGCUCGUUUUUAAUUGUUUGCUUUACUUAUUUACAAGUAUUACACACACAUGUCUUAAAUACAAAAUCAAACAUGAUAUCCCUAUACUGAUUUAUUAUGGCUAAGACAGUUAUUCAGUCUGGCAACAUUUUGUACGAUUUUACCCUUUUCCUAAAUGGUAUGCUACAUUUAUGCAUAUUACUGAAACAACUGCUGGAUAAGACAGUUUUAAGACGGUAUAUAGAAAGAUGUUAAUAGUUUAGUCUUCUAAUACGUGAUAUUAAUUUUUGCACAUGUUUAAUGUUGUGAGUUUAGUUACAUGUAUUGUACAGCAUGUUACAAAUAGAAUUAGAUCUACAGCAAAGAUUAACGGCUAGCGUACGGUGUACUUUGAAUAAAAGUCGUCUGUCUCUUCAACUUCUGACGAAAAAUAAAAUUAGUUAAAAUGG
This is a long non-coding RNA of Mercenaria mercenaria, 987 nucleotides long. RefSeq lists it as uncharacterized. The transcript is spliced from 2 exons. The record is from RefSeq and is a predicted model, not a curated record. Lineage: Eukaryota; Metazoa; Mollusca; Bivalvia; Venerida; Veneridae.